RNAcentral lists this ribosomal RNA (304 nucleotides) under uncultured bacterium. Its description in RNAcentral is "partial 16S ribosomal RNA". It matches the Rfam family "Bacterial small subunit ribosomal RNA", at positions 506 to 807 of the family's 1533-position model. The record is from RNAcentral.
CAGCAGUAGCCACGGUAACACGGAGGGGGCUAGCGUUGUUCGGAAUUACUGGGCGUAAAGCGCACGUAGGCGGCUUGGUAAGUUAGAGGUGAAAGCCUGGAGCUCAACUCCAGAAUUGCCUUUAAGACUGCCGAGCUAGCAGGUGAGAGAGGUAAGUGGAAUUCCGAGUGUAGAGGUGAAAUUCGUAGAUAUUCGGAAGAACACCAGUGGCGAAGGCGGCUUACUGGCUCAUACUGGACGCUGAGGUGCGAAAGCGUGGGGAGCAAACAGGAUUAGAUACCCGCGUAGUCCCUGUCUCUUAUAC